RNAcentral lists this unclassified non-coding RNA (334 nucleotides) under soil metagenome. RNAcentral's name for it is "partial contains 5.8S ribosomal RNA, internal transcribed spacer 2, and large subunit ribosomal RNA". The stretch from base 1 to 120 matches the Rfam family "5.8S ribosomal RNA", at positions 35 to 154 of the family's 154-position model. The record is from RNAcentral.
GAUGAAGAACGUAGCGAAAUGCGAUAAGUAAUGUGAAUUGCAGAAUUCAGUGAAUCAUCGAAUCUUUGAACGCACAUUGCGCCCGCCAGUAUUCUGGCGGGCAUGCCUGUUCGAACGUCAUUUCAACCAUCAAGCCCCCGGCUUGUGUUGGGGACCUGCGGCUGCCGCAGGCCCUGAAAACCAGUGGCGGGCUCGCUAGUCACUCCGAGCGUAGUAAUACAUCUCGCUCAGGGCGUGCUGCGGGUUCCGGCCGUUAAAAAGCCUUAUUUACCCAAGGUUGACCUCGGAUCAGGUAGGAAGACCCGCUGAACUUAAGCAUAUCAAUAGCGGAGGA